RNAcentral lists this small nuclear RNA (89 nucleotides) under Lepisosteus oculatus (spotted gar). Its description in RNAcentral is "U1 spliceosomal RNA (ENSLOCG00000020816.1)". Lineage: Eukaryota; Metazoa; Chordata; Actinopteri; Semionotiformes; Lepisosteidae. The record is from RNAcentral.
GCAGGGUCAGCUAUUUAUACGGCGCUCUGCCAUUGCACUGUGGCUGUACUGACCGCUGCGAAUUCCCCACAUGUGGGAAUCUCGACUGC